This 107-nucleotide small nucleolar RNA is filed under the name Thalictrum thalictroides. RNAcentral's name for it is "Plant small nucleolar RNA R71". It matches the Rfam family "Plant small nucleolar RNA R71". From Rfam's summary of the family: R71 is a member of the C/D box family of snoRNAs containing the C (UGAUGA) and D (CUGA) box motifs. Multiple nearly identical copies of this snoRNA have been identified in Arabidopsis, and it is thought to function as a 2'-O-ribose methylation guide for 18S ribosomal RNA. The record is from Rfam by way of RNAcentral. Lineage: Eukaryota; Viridiplantae; Streptophyta; Magnoliopsida; Ranunculales; Ranunculaceae.
AUUUGAUGAUGUGGGCAUUGUAUUUGAAGAUCAUUAAAUCUAUCCCAAGCUUCAUAAAAUUCUUCAUUAGGUUCUUGUGUAAAUGUUUGAAUUAUAUUUCGAAUAUC